This 432-nucleotide ribosomal RNA is filed under the name uncultured bacterium. Its description in RNAcentral is "partial 16S ribosomal RNA". It matches the Rfam family "Bacterial small subunit ribosomal RNA", at positions 29 to 507 of the family's 1533-position model. The record is from RNAcentral.
ACGAACGCUGGCGGCAUGCCUAACACAUGCAAGUCGAACGAGACUUUCGGGUCUAGUGGCGCACGGGUGCGUAACGCGUGGGAACCUGCCCUUAGGUUCGGAAUAACUCCCCGAAAGGGGUGCUAAUACCGGAUAAUGUCUUCGGACCAAAGAUUUAUCGCCUUUGGAUGGGCCCGCGUUGGAUUAGCUAGUUGGUAGGGUAAAAGCCUACCAAGGCGACGAUCCAUAGCUGGUCUGAGAGGAUGAUCAGCCACACUGGGACUGAGACACGGCCCAGACUCCUACGGGAGGCAGCAGUGGGGAAUAUUGGACAAUGGGCGAAAGCCUGAUCCAGCAAUGCCGCGUGAGUGAUGAAGGCCUUAGGGUUGUAAAGCUCUUUUACCCGGGAUGAUAAUGACAGUACCGGGAGAAUAAGCUCCGGCUAACUCCGUG